Molecule: long non-coding RNA, 604 nt
Organism: Cyprinus carpio carpio
Lineage: Eukaryota; Metazoa; Chordata; Actinopteri; Cypriniformes; Cyprinidae
Source: Ensembl
CGCUAUGACUAUAACUGAAUAUGGGCAUAUCAAUCUGUUCAGGUCAGGAGUCUUAUCAAACAUGUGAAGUUUGGGGCAGAUUGGACAUUGUAUGUCUGAGUUAUAGCAACUUCAUUUUUCAUGGCGAAACAUCGAAAUUCGUCAGGCCGCCACGGACACGCCCUUCAACGAAAACUCAAGAUCUUCGCAAUUUAACAUCGCAAAGGCCUUUAGAUUAGGCAUACCAAAUUUGGUGUUGAUCUGAAAAAAUCUCUAGGAGGAGUUCGUUAAAAUACAAGGCAUGCAAAUGACAAAAAUGAUGCAAAAUUUGCUCAUAAAAUUAAAAAUAACCGACUUCCUGUUGGGUUUCGGAUAUUGCUCCAAGAGUCUUUUUUGUAGGUACUGAUGCUUUACAUAUGUGUGCCAAUUUUCGUGCAUGUACGUGAAACACAGCUCGAGGGCUGUUGAUUUUUUUACGAUAGGUGGCGCUGUCGAGCCAUUUUGCCACACCCUCUUCUGAAACCUAUAUCAGACGUAAAUUUUCACCAGGUCUGACGCGUGUGCAAAGUUUCAGGACUUUUCGAGCAUGUUUAGGCCCUCAAAAAUGCGAUUCAUUUUGGAGAAG